GUGGGGAAUAUUGGACAAUGGGCGCAAGCCUGAUCCAGCAAUGCCGCGUGCAGGAAGAAGGCCUUCGGGUUGUAAACUGCUUUUGUACGGAACGAAACGGUCCUGGCUAAUAUCCGGGGCUAAUGACGGUACCGUAAGAAUAAGCACCGGCUAACUACGUGCCAGCAGCCGCGGUAAUACGUAGGGUGCGAGCGUUAAUCGGAAUUACUGGGCGUAAAGCGUGCGCAGGCGGUGCUGUAAGACAGGCGUGAAAUCCCCGGGCUCAACCUGGGAAUUGCGCUUGUGACUGCAGUGCUGGAGUGCGGCAGAGGGGGAUGGAAUUCCGCGUGUAGCAGUGAAAUGCGUAGAUAUGCGGAGGAACACCGAUGGCGAAGGCAAUCCCCUGGGCCUGCACUGACGCUCAUGCACGAAAGCGUGGGGAGCAAACAGGAUUAGAAACCCCUGUAGUCC
Molecule: ribosomal RNA, 450 nt
Filed under: uncultured bacterium
Lineage: Bacteria
Description: partial 16S ribosomal RNA
Rfam family: Bacterial small subunit ribosomal RNA
Source: RNAcentral